This 788-nucleotide ribosomal RNA is filed under the name uncultured archaeon. RNAcentral describes it as "bacterial SSU rRNA". It matches the Rfam family "Archaeal small subunit ribosomal RNA", at positions 85 to 876 of the family's 1478-position model. The record is from RNAcentral.
ACGGCUCAGUAACACGUAGUUAAUCUACCCUUAGGAGAAGGAUAUCCACGGGAAACUGUGGCUAAUACUUCAUAGAGGUUAAUUGCUGGAAUGCAUCUACCUCCAAAGGCAACGCCUAAGGAUGAGACUGCGGAUGAUUAGCUAGUUGGUGGGGUAACUGCCUACCAAGGCGAUGAUCAUUAGGGGCUCUUAGCGGAGUCGCCCCGAGAAGGAAUCUGAGACACGAAUCCAGGCCCUACGGGGUGCAGCAGGCGCGAAAACUUUACAAUGCUGGCAACAGCGAUAAGGGGACCUCGAGUGCCAGGAUACAAUCUUGGCUGUCGCGAUGCCUAAAAAGCAUUGCAUAGCAAGGGCCGGGCAAGACCGGUGCCAGCCGCCGCGGUAACACCGGCGGCUCGAGUGGUAACCGCUAUUAUUGGGUCUAAAGGGUCUGUAGCCGGCCGGAUAAGUCUCUUGGGAAAUCCAGCUGCUCAACAGUUGGGCUUUCAGGAGAUACUGUUCGGCUCGAGGCCGGGAGAGGUGAGAGGUACUUCAGGGGUAGGGGUGAAAUCUUGUAAUCCUUGAAGGACCACCAGUGGCGAAGGCGUCUCACCAGAACGGACCUGACGGCAAGGGACGAAAGCUAGGGGCACGAACCGGAUUAGAUACCCGGGUAGUCCUAGCCGUAAACGAUACUCGCUAGGUGUCAGCCACGGUGCGACCGUGGUUGGUGCCGUAGGGAAGCCGUGAAGCGAGCCACCUGGGAAGUACGGCCGCAAGGCUGAAACUUAAAGGAAUUGGCGGGGGAG